CGUAACACGUGAGCAACCUGCCUAGGUGUGGGGGAUAGCCGGCCCAACGGCCGGGUAAUACCGCAUACGCUCAACACGAGGCAUUUCGAGUUGAGGAAACCUUCGGGGCACUAUGAGGGGCUCGCGGCCUAUCAGCUAGUUGGCGAGGUAAUGGCUCACCAAGGCUACGACGGGUAGCUGGUCUGAGAGGAUGGCCAGCCACAUUGGGACUGAGAAACGGCCCAG
This 225-nucleotide ribosomal RNA is filed under the name uncultured bacterium. RNAcentral's name for it is "partial 16S ribosomal RNA". It matches the Rfam family "Bacterial small subunit ribosomal RNA", at positions 109 to 334 of the family's 1533-position model. The record is from RNAcentral.